RNAcentral lists this ribosomal RNA (168 nucleotides) under uncultured bacterium. Its description in RNAcentral is "partial 16S ribosomal RNA". It matches the Rfam family "Bacterial small subunit ribosomal RNA", at positions 1192 to 1362 of the family's 1533-position model. The record is from RNAcentral.
UGCANGGCCCUUAAGGGCAGGGCUAAACACGGCUACAANGGGCGGNACAAAGGGUGCCAACCCGCGAGGGGGAAGCUAAUCCCACAAAGCCGGUCGUAGUCGAUGCAGUCUGCAAACUCGACUGCAUGAAGUCGGAUCGCUAGUAAUCGCAGAUNAGCAAUGCUGCGU